AAAAGGAAAGACAAGACUGAGAAUGAGUCUCCAAAACCAACAGUAAUUCUUGAACAAUCUAGGGAUGUCUCCACUGGUAAAAGAAAUGGCGUUGCCAAAGCAAAGGCAGUGUGUCCGUGGCAUUCUCUAAUACUACGCAUGAAUAAAUGCAUGAAUAAAUUCCUUGUAUACCAAAAAAACUACAAAAAAGACUUUAACACCUUCCCUUGAUCAAGCAAGGCUAAAUCUGAAGCAAAACAAUAAAAACUUCCCUUUUACAAAGUCAGGCUUCUCCCUACCUUCAUGUUUCUACAAAGGCUUGUCCUUUGAGCAGAUUAUCCCAUGGUUGAGUUCGGAUGAGCCGCACUGAGCCUCAGCUCAGUUGCCCCUGAGCAGCUGCAGCAGAGGAAGAUGAGCACAUACCACAGAGCAGACAGACACACCAGCCAAGAUACCUCCACCUUCACUCUCUUUCUCCUAGUUGUAAACUUGUUCCUUGGGUCCUCCCUGCUUACUAGUUUCCUCUCCUUGCCUUCCAGACCGGUUUCAUGUAUUUAUAGUUUUAAAGUCACUCUCUGGACACAUCUCUUAUUUGUGCGUAAUGACGUUGAAAAAAGGAACGCCCCUGGCAAAGAGAAAUCCUUCAGCACAAAGAAGUCCUAGGAUCUAGCUAAAAAUUUUCAGCAAGUGAUGAGAUUUCUGUUCCAUGGUAACCAUUAUUUUCCUCUAGAAACUGAGAUGGAAAAUAAUCAGAAGGCAGUUCUUGCGACAAGAAUGAAGCUUAAACAAUACAGACUAUCUACACUUUCCCAGCUAAACCAGUAUCACUUUUGAAUCUGGGUACAGAGAUUAGUGGUGUCUUCAUGAUGUACUUCUCUAAACCAACAAGCAAACCCUUGCUGGAAAGAAUCUGUUUCCUCACAUAUUCCUCUCAGUGUAAAACGCAGUAACAAAUAACCCCAAGCUCAGCGUAUCAGUUUUGUUCAUGGGUUCACAUAUUUUAAUUUCAAAACACAGGACCUAGGGUAUCAUCAUCAAACAUUUCACGUACUCCCAGCUUCAUGGGUAACUCUGGCAGAACCAACACUAUCAGAAAUGCUUUUCUUUAAGGUCUGACAUUAAACUAUUAACAUUUAACAAUAGCAAAAUGAGAAUCUGAUUUAAUUUCAUUUAAGUAGAGGCACUAGUGAUUAAAAUCACUUGAAGCAGUUCUCUUUUCCAAAAUUGCUCAACGCAGCAGUUCAACACAGUCCGACUCCUUAUAGCUGCAUCAAGUGAACGUGUACCAGGUCAGCAGAUCUCAGCCUCUGAAGUUCACUCCCUCCCCUGCCCUUUCAAAGGCCUCUCACAAGAAUAAAAAGUAAACGUGUUUGCGAUAAGAAGCCUGUGGAUCACAUUAGAGUGAUUAGACUGCAAUGUUCUGACCUUUAGCAUUUAUCACUGGGUUGGUCUCCACCCUGCCAUGAGUGGGAUUCCACAGUGCCCACUCAAGUGAUUUCUUCCUUUCACCUUUCAAUAGUGUGAAACAACCAAUGCUCUGAGCUCAGCAGACUUUCCACUGGCAUUUUUAGUCUUUCUUGUGUUCUGAAUAUCUCCAUUUCCCCCAGCCUCUACUGCAAAAAGAAAUCAAAUCACCUUUCUGUUUUACCAGCCAGCGAUCAGUAGCCUUAAGACAAAUACACCAGUCAGUUCAAAACUAAGCAGCAGCUAUGUAUGUAGCCUCAGAAAUGCUGGGACCCAGGGCAGUUCUGUCAGCAUGAGCUCUGCAGGUUGUUUGACUCUAUGACCAGAUAUGCAGAGUGAAGCUUUGUAAUUUCGUGUACUUCGUUAGCUGACCUGCUAACUUAAUAAAACAGGAUCCGUAGAAAGCAGGUUUUCUCUAGUGCUACGGUUUUUUAAGUUACAUGCUUUUACAUGUAAAUGGUGACAAACUAGGACAGCAGUGGUGCUCAUCCGCCAGCCCUGAACGAGGUUGUGGAUCCCACGACAGGAGUAAAGUAUCACGGGGAACAUGGGAACCAGUGCUGCCUCACUGGGGGCACAACACUGAGCUUAUUCCAGCAGCUUAUUCCAGAAAGCCUGUGAGUCAGGCACCUGCGAUGUUCACCCCUGCCCUUCUGUUAAUCUUCCCCCUUCCAACUAAUAUUCAAGCUCUCAUAAUUUGACUCCACAGCAUUUGCUCUCGAGGAUGCUGGUGGUUUCUCCCUUCUGGUGCUCACCAGCUCUGGUUGUUGGAGAAGGACAAAACAGACCUGAUGGUGACUAUCAGCAAACUUCUGUUAAAACUACACUUAAGAAUAUCUUCAUGUUUGGAUGAGUUACUAGGUUAGGUAGUUCAGAUGAGGUCUCUGAACCUCAACACUGCUGAAACAGACAGCUGUUCAGCAUAACUCAGGUUGCACCCCAACUGCCUCUUGAUUCAGUCUGAUUUGGGGGGGGGAGUGUGUUCUCUAGAUUACAUCUUGCACAAGGGAUUAUCAGAAGUUUAGUAUUAUUUUGUUCCCAGAAGCUCAAAUGACUGAUCCAUGCUUCAGCACUGUGCCAGUCAGCAAUUAGCUCGCAGGGACACACUGGCUUUAUGGCUUAUGUUAGUGAAUUUUAUUAGCCACUGUUGAGCCACAGAGCCCAAGCUGUAGUCAAAUUUCAAACCUCUUAAAAAUGAAAUUAAGCCCCCAACAAAUCUGUUUGACUGCUCGAUACAGGAAAGGUACAGUGUCCCAGAAAUUUCAAGAUCUAGAAUCAUAGAAUCGUUAAGAGAAGACCUCUAAGAUCAAGUCUAACCGUCAAUCACCACAACACUAAACCACGUACCUAUGUGUCAUCUAUAAGUUUCUGAAUGCCAUCAGAGAUGGUGACUGCACCACCUCCCUGCCACCAAUGCCUCAUCAUUCACUUCUGAGAAGAAAUGUUUCCUAAGGUCCAACUUGAACCUCCCCUGGUGCAACUUGAAGCCAUUCCCUCUCAUCUUAUCACUCGUUACCUAGGAGAAAAGGCUGCCCUCCACCUCACUGCAAUCUCCUUUCAGGUUGCAGAGAGCAAUGAGGUCUCCCCUAAGCCCCUUCUUCUCCACAUCGAACAACCCCAGCUCCCCCAGCCAUUCCCCAUCACACUUGUGCUCCAGACCCCUCACCAGCUUUGUUGCCCUUUCUCUAGACGUGCUCCAGGGCUUCAGUGUCUUUCUUGUCAUGAGGGGCUCAACACUGAACACUUCAGGUGCAGCCUCACCAGUGCUGAGUACAGAGGGACAGUCACCUCCCUAGUCCUGCUCACAGCACUACUGCUGACACAAGCCAGGUGCAGGGGGUUGUUGUGACCAAAGUGCAAGACCUGGCACUUGAUCUUGUUGAAGCUCAUGCAGUUGGCCUCAGCCCACUGAUCCAGCCUGUCCAGAUCCCUCCAUAGGGCCUUCCUGGCUGAGAGGACAACAGGCAUGUAAUCUGAAAACUUACUGAGCGUGCAAUCAACUCUUUCGUCCAGGUCAUCAAUCAAAAUAUUAAGCAGGACUGUAAACAGAUCUGCUGUAAGCAGUUCCUUGUGCUGCAGCAAAAACCAUGGCUCUUAAUUUGCAUAUUCUUAUAAAUGACUUCAUACAUUAUAAAAACCUGCAAUUUGAGAGAGGAAGUGCUCAGUCAAGACUGAUUCCUCUUGGGCUAUUUUUGCUCGGAUGAGAAGAACACAACAGAGCAAAAAAAAAAGGAGAACAAGACAGCCGUGACUCCAUCUUGUGAUGACAUGCUUAAAAACACAGAGGCUAAAUUCCACGCUUGUAUGAAGAUGCACAUAGCUUUCAUCAAUUUCAAAACGUAUUUUGUUCACACCUAGAAGAUAAUGAUCCAAACAAAAAUAAAAUGUUGUUAUUUUUAAUGAACGUCUAAUUCUGCUCCCUCUGAAGUCCAUUUGAGAGUAACCUCUGACUUGACCGUACGCUGGCUUACAUCUUGAGAAUAUUAAAAACAAACAAAAACAAGGCACACAGGCACACUGACUAACGCCUGGAGCGUGGCUACACAGAGGAUGGUCGUGCCAUUCAGUGUUUUUCAUUAACGUCCACGCCAAAGGAGAACGGACUGCAUUAAACCAGACAAACCUAGAUUUAUUAACAUGAAGAAACGCUGCUAAAGGUUUGUGGGGCAGAAAGGAUUGGAGACCUGCCACCCCAUCCCAGGCAAGCUUCACACAUGUAGCCUUACUGAAAUCAGCGGCACUACUCACGUCAAGCAGAACGGCUGCACAACGCAGCGCGUUUAGAAUAGGUACAGCACAAAAGGCUCAGACACAGCACGUGGACGAAAGGAAGAAGUACUCUGCUUUUGGCAGCAGUUCAGCAUCCUCUUCUGACUUCUAGCUGUGUAGUACCACGCCUUGUUAUCUUUGUAAGAAUCCACAAAAGAGCUGAAGCCCAACCUUCGAUCUAGGCUUGUUUCAGUGAUGGCCCUGCCUAAUAAAAAAAUAGCCUUAAUCUGGCAAAAAUUCAUUUUCUGUAGUUAUCCAUGCAAACAGAAGUGAAUGAAGCGAUGCUUGUAAAUGCAGCUAUUUUACAAGGGGAAGGAAAACUUUCAAAAUUAUUGCUUCACAACUCAAACGCAUUGAAAUGAAAAUAAUAAUAUUAAGAAGAUUUGAAAAGAAAUGAAACUGUCUAAGGUAAUUACGGGCCUUGGCACAAAAUCCACAAAACCACAAGCAGCACAAUGAUAAAAGAAAACUAACACCACUCACCAAGAUUCUGGCAACUGGAUUUAUAAAAUAGUACCUAGAGGCACGGGCAAACCUGGGCAGAGCUGGCUGUCCAAGCAGCAACAGGCUACAAUAACUCGCAGAUCCUUUCUUUACAAAUCUGCGUACAUGAUUCCCCAGCCUAAAAAAAUAAUUACCUUUAAAAUGAUUCUUUACUCUCUUACCUAAUAUCACAAAAAGAAACGGAUACAGCCCCACUGCGGGCACACAAGCACCCCUGCACAAAUCAUGAACUCCCUCCAACCCAGCUCAUGCAAUAUCAGAGCUAGGGCUGCCCCGCUCUCAGAAAUCUUUGUUGCUGGAAUCGAGACGCCUCACUGGGUUUCUGUUGAAUAAGAGAAGAACUUGUUUUUGCUUCUGUAGCACAGCGCUGAAGAUUUCAGGGUCCAAUCCACAAUUCCAAAUUCUGGCACAAAAUUAAAGAUGCCAACAGCAUCGGGCCUCCUAUCUACUGAUCUCCAGUGCUUCUCAUUAUUUUAAGAGUCUUCAACAUCCAGAAAGAUCAGUAAGAUACCAUUUACCCGGUGAAAUUACUAGAGAAUUAAAGGUUGUGAUGUUCGCUCAUGAGGUGAUGCUGUAGAGAAAGUGAAAGUUUAUUUUGAACGCCGAAGAGAAAUGACGCCGUGCUUGGUUUUGACCUGAAAUGUGAUAACUGCUUGAACAGGAGGUUCUUCACAUACAGCCCUCCAUCCAGCUUCUAGACUAAUGGUGCCAGAAACUUCUGCAGUGGGAGGAGAUGGAAGCACUGCAGCACCUAAAUGUAACUUACACGGAAACUUCCAGGGCAAAUGACAUGGUCUGACACAUUCAGAGAGGGCUGUGCUGAGAACAGCAGCUCAUCCUGCAAGGGACAUCUUGUGACCUUCACUUCUCACAGUGGGGGCACAGGGGAGCAUGAGCAACGCUAGAUCUCAGCCAAGGUGAAUGACCUCCUGCACACGAAAGUACUUCAGCACAGAGACUGCUUAGGAACAAACAUCAUUAAUAACCACGAUGAGCUGUAAUUCUGCCUUUUUUUUUUUUCUUACACAGGCAGUGCUUUUUAACGUAGAGUUACGCAGGGAGCUCAGUUUCACUUCAGUGAUGACACAGGUGGCCUCCUCAUGUGUUCUGCUCCUCAAAUGAUCUGGGGGCACAAAGACACUCCAUUACGCCGAUACGUGCCCAUCAGUUUAAGCCAGCCAACAUCAAAGGUUUUGCUGCAGCAGGGUGGCUCUGCCCGGCCUCCAUUUCCAGCACUAACCUUAUGCUGGGACUCACUCUUAGGUGGUGAAUCAGAUCAAAGAACUAGCGAGACUCAAAACUAAACUGACAAAAGAGGAAAACGUUUGCGUUCAGUCAGCCAGCUCCCAUGAAUGCUAGACCUGGCACAAGGUGAAGGCAGACAUAGCAAGAGGAAGGACUGCCUCUUUCACUGAUUUGUGCUAGACUCAGCCAGCCAGAGGAACCGGGUGCGAGCGGCACUGGGAGGCACGCUUCGGAUUGUACUUACUUUCCCCAGCCUGUGCUCACAUUGCAGCUGCAGCUCUGGCUCACCUGGCUGCGUGGCAGCCACCUUCAGAAGGGCCACGGCAGGCAGGGAACGUCACGCACGAAGCUGCCUUGGUAUUUGACAUGCAUCUCCCAAAGCUGAAUUACAUACAGCUAAGGAGAACCUUGCCAGCUCGUUUCAUGCUACACUUGCCACAUGAACCACAGCCAUACUGGUACAAAAGAAAGAGAAGACCGUCCCGAUGCACUAUUUCACACUGGCUGGCAAAAGGUGAGUAUUAUCCUCUCUUCUCUGCACCUGGACUUCACCAACUGGAUACACAGCACUGGGUGACAGGCCAAGCAGUUCAGCAACGUGUCUGGGGGCACAGCAGCAUCUGCAACUUGCUAAAAGAGAGAAGCUGGGAACAAUGGGACAGAAGGGCUGUGGCAGCACUAUGUUUCUUCUGGUCAAUGCAUGCCUCUGUGAUGCAUGAGGAGGCCAAGUCAAGAGUAGAAACCUGAGGGGACAUCAUGUGGCUGGCAUCAUAGUGAAUGCACACAAUUUGCACAGAAGAUGCUGAAAGCAUUAACAAGGGACAAACGCUGCCAGCUGAGAGUGGGGAUUUCAGAGUCAAACAGCCUUGCAGAUAUGUUUCAGAAUGACUCCGAUGUCACCAGAUCCAGCUAGGCACAAGGCACCAUCUGCAAACAGCGAAUCGCUACCAUCCCAUCCAGGAGUUUGGAGAUUGACAUCAGUUGCCUCACCAGCACAGGCACCUGUGGCAACUUCGGCUUCCCUGGAAGACAAAGGCCUUUACACAAGCAAGUUUGGAACACAGCCUCACACUUUGCUAUUACUUCUGCCUUUACAGUAAGUAAGGUGUUCAGCCUAUACAGUAAGCAAUAUGUACACUGGUAAGCUGCAGACAUUUGGGCUGUUAGGAAGGUCAAUGCUGAACCUUUGUCCCAAAUGGGUACUGAGGUCUGGGAUUGUUUGACUGUUUCAGAAGAAGAUGGGGAAGAAAACAAAACCAAAAACAAGCGGCCCACAAACACCCCAAAGACUAGUUUUCAACUCCAGAACUUGAUGUUCAUACAAGAAAUGAGCAGCACUAGCUUGCAAGCUGCUUCAAGGAUGCACCUAACUCCGUGACUCUUCCCUAAAUGGAAGAGCUGGAUACCAUUCUGAAGAUAAAUAAAUAAAUGCACAAAAUAGGAUGGAUACAAUCACCUUGGAGAAUGUAGUGAUACUCAUUUGACCUUAAAAAAAAAAAAAAGAAAGAAAAGCCUAUACAUACAAGUUUCAGUCUCACCAAGCAGCAAACAUUAGGGUGACUGCUGCUAACAAAAACCUGUUUUGAUCAACUAAGCGCACGUAAAACUAUUUCUGUCACUAAUCCUGUUUUACCUUGGUCCUGUGCCUCUCAGGGCUUGGCUCAGCAUGGGACUGCCCUGCAGCUGCAAGAGGCUAACCCCAUGGCAGCUCUGCCCCAUGCUGACACGUUACCAAAUGCACUGAGGCAGCUACACGGGCUGGAAAAUGCCAGUGGCCCCUUAGCAGCACGCAGCCUGCAAGAGCAGGGGGCAGCCCUGGGCAUCACCCACACCAGGAGCUCCCACUACCUGGACAGGGCUGCAGUCUCUUCUGGUGCUGGGCUACUGGCUGAAGGGAGCCCAGAAUAUGACCCGGUGCUGUCAGGCUGUAAUUACCUCAAAAAUGCAGAGUGGAUUUGGAGCUACGUGCCAACCACAGCGACAAUCUAUUCUCUAAUGAUUUUACUUGCACUCAGCGCUGCUAAGAAUAGAGCUCUACGCGAUCACUAAAGUUUCUUUGGUGAAGUAGACCUACGUAAGAGGACUUUUAUCAUGUUCUUUUCAUUUACAGCAUCGAGAUAAAAACGUAAAUUCAUUUCUUAUUUAUUGAAUAAAAGAAAGCAAGCUAAGAGGGCCGAACAAGGAGUUCUUUAUUGUGCUGUCUGAAAUCAAGAUGGAGUAGGCUGACCCAAAGUAAAGUAAAACAAUGAACUUAGUUUACACUAUGUGUUGAAGGACUAAAGUAAUUUAAAAACAAGCUGCUGUGUGCGUGAAUUACUAGAACUAGGGCAACUGUUUUGAUGGACCAGACUGACUACAGGCAGCUUGACUACAGGCAGCUGUCCUGAAAUAAAGACAAUAAUUUAAAACACUUCUCAUUCUGUAGUUAAGAUCAACAUGCUUCCUUUUUUUUUUUUUUUGCCUUAAAUUCAGGAUUAAAACGAAGCAUGUAUUUUGAAGCCUGCUAGAAAUCUAGCUCUCAGCUCUCUAACAAGGGUCUUGCAUUAAUUUAGCAUGACUUCUGCGGGCAUUAAGAAGCAUCUGAAAAAUCUCCAGGUUUUUGCCACACAUAAGCAUCAACAAUAACACCUCCUUUUCAGAGGUACUAUUUGUGCUUGAAAUCAGAGAAGCACAGAAGAGUCUACACAUUCCUUUUUUUUUUUCCUUAGUUCUGUAGUUAUGGUAGGUUAUUAAUAAGAAAGUCACUGCUGAAGCAAUACAGCUUUGAAGUAACUGUAAGAAUUUAGAGCAAGUCUGAAUGACUUUUAUUUAAAUAUAGUCAAAAACUGUGGGCUUUUAGGUGUUAAAAAUUCACCUUUCUUGAUCUGUAGAAGUUCAAUGUGUCAGUAAGUGAUAAUGGUGCUACGUUUGCAAUAGGUUAUUUACUUAGCAAUUGCACUGCUGUGUGCAUUGGCUUCAGUAUGAGGAAGUCAAAGGGUCUGGGAUGUGUUUUUUUCCUAACACAUGUUUUAGUUUUGAAACUCCUUAAUACAAUCACUGACAUAAAACACGUCAUUUUUCUUGUAGCUACAUGAAGUACAAAAUACACAUACCACCAGCUGAAGAAUUUUGACAAGAACGUGGAGAAACUGAAAGGUGUAAAUUAAAUCAUUUCAUUCUCUAGCCUAUUUUACAUAGCACGAUCCUUCCGUGCAGUGGAUUCGGAUGUCAAAGAACCCUUUCUCUACAGAAUGACCAGUAGCAAAACCAGCAAUAAAUAGGAAAUGCUUAUACGUAAUUCCUUCCCAGACAGCUACUGGAAGAAAAAGAAGAAAAAAAAAGCAAAAAAAGCAACUGGAAUAUUGACAUAGCAUUUACUGUACAGCACUGCUUUUCGAGGAUGGUGACUCCACCUUACCAUAUCAACCAAGAACAACAAGCUUGCCAGUCAGAUGGUGAAACAGUUGUGAAGAGGUAGUAAGUAGUUCAUGGGUAUUUAUGCUUCUCAUUUAAGUUGGGACUGUAUGCUGAAACUGCUGGUCACACUCUAGUUGGCCCUACAACUUGCUGUGUGUUCAGCAACGAAUCUGUGCAUUGAACUUAGCAAUGAGAGGGUAUGGAGGCUCUAUGGAGGCUGUGAGACUAAUUAGUUCAGCAAGUUGAUCUGAGGAAAACUUUUUUUUUUUUUUUUUGCAGGCUGGUUUUCCACUGGAGCAACUUGCUGAGUUUGUUCACCAUGGCAACACAAGGCCUGAUGCAAGGGAAGUGGUAGGAGUGUGUGACCAGGGAUGGAGGGAAGGGCAGGAUGACUCUUACUGAGAGCAGCCCACAGCUAGGUCAGAUCAGCUCUCAUGUAGAACUACAGCCCGUGGGUAGAUCCUUACAGGUGUGGUUCUGCAGAAACACAACUUGGCUCUGCCUUGACUGAGAUUAGUACUGCUGUGGACAUCCUGAUUGCCUCUAUCAGUCCCACGCUGCAAAAUUAAGUGAGGAGCAGCUUCAUGGAGUUUACCUGUGGGCUCAGCUCCCUGAAGAAGCUGGCUGAGAGGUCACAUGAACAUUGGUGUUACGACAAGAGAAGGGAUGGGGCUGUAGCAAGUCAGAUUUAUGUCUGUUUGUUGUGGAUUUGCAGUAAUUCAGUCUUUCCUUUCCCCAUAGUUGCCAAAAUUACGGAAUGUGAUUUCUGAAAUACUUGUAGACGUUUCCAGGAAAAGUUUUUGUUGCUGUCCCAUGGCUUCUUAAAUUUGCGUGAUGGCCUUGCCCAGGCUAUCUGGCCAAAAAGACGCAGCCAACUUACACUGCUACUGUGGGGGGAGGAGAAAAACAGCAACUUUCUGAAUAGAUCCAUCAUGUGACCCCAGUGAGGAAAGACUACCAGAGGCACAGGAGGGGAAAACUGUUUCUCUGAAAAACUAAAAUGAAAAACUGAAAAUAUAGCUCCACCACAAAAGCAAAGGCAAGACAAAAAGCAAAACCAGCCAACCAGCAACGAUCUUGCAAAGGGAACUUUUGUUUCAAACAAUCAGAUGAGUU
Numida meleagris (helmeted guineafowl) is the source of this 10473-nucleotide long non-coding RNA. RefSeq lists it as uncharacterized. The record is from RefSeq and is a predicted model, not a curated record. Lineage: Eukaryota; Metazoa; Chordata; Aves; Galliformes; Numididae. The transcript is spliced from 3 exons.